Molecule: ribosomal RNA, 962 nt
Filed under: Lactobacillus gasseri
Lineage: Bacteria; Bacillati; Bacillota; Bacilli; Lactobacillales; Lactobacillaceae
Description: bacterial SSU rRNA
Rfam family: Bacterial small subunit ribosomal RNA
Source: RNAcentral
AGAGUUUGAUCAUGGCUCAGGACGAACGCUGGCGGCGUGCCUAAUACAUGCAAGUCGAGCGAGCUUGCCUAGAUGAAUUUGGUGCUUGCACCAAAUGAAACUAGAUACAAGCGAGCGGCGGACGGGUGAGUAACACGUGGGUAACCUGCCCAAGAGACUGGGAUAACACCUGGAAACAGAUGCUAAUACCGGAUAACAACACUAGACGCAUGUCUAGAGUUUAAAAGAUGGUUCUGCUAUCACUCUUGGAUGGACCUGCGGUGCAUUAGCUAGUUGGUAAGGUAACGGCUUACCAAGGCAAUGAUGCAUAGCCGAGUUGAGAGACUGAUCGGCCACAUUGGGACUGAGACACGGCCCAAACUCCUACGGGAGGCAGCAGUAGGGAAUCUUCCACAAUGGACGCAAGUCUGAUGGAGCAACGCCGCGUGAGUGAAGAAGGGUUUCGGCUCGUAAAGCUCUGUUGGUAGUGAAGAAAGAUAGAGGUAGUAACUGGCCUUUAUUUGACGGUAAUUACUUAGAAAGUCACGGCUAACUACGUGCCAGCAGCCGCGGUAAUACGUAGGUGGCAAGCGUUGUCCGGAUUUAUUGGGCGUAAAGCGAGUGCAGGCGGUUCAAUAAGUCUGAUGUGAAAGCCUUCGGCUCAACCGGAGAAUUGCAUCAGAAACUGUUGAACUUGAGUGCAGAAGAGGAGAGUGGAACUCCAUGUGUAGCGGUGGAAUGCGUAGAUAUAUGGAAGAACACCAGUGGCGAAGGCGGCUCUCUGGUCUGCAACUGACGCUGAGGCUCGAAAGCAUGGGUAGCGAACAGGAUUAGAUACCCUGGUAGUCCAUGCCGUAAACGAUGAGUGCUAAGUGUUGGGAGGUUUCCGCCUCUCAGUGCUGCAGCUAACGCAUUAAGCACUCCGCCUGGGGAGUACGACCGCAAGGUUGAAACUCAAAGGAAUUGACGGGGGCCCGCACAAG